GACGGGGGAUGCAACCGUUGUCCGGAAUCACUGGGCGUAAGGCGUCUGUAGGUGGUGAUGCAAUUCACUGGUGCAAAACUCUGGCUCAACCGGAGGAAAGCCAGUGAAACUGCAUGACUAGAGUGUGGGAGAGGUAGAAGGAAUUCCCUGAGUAGCGGUGAAAUGCGUAGAUACAGGGAAGAACACCGGAGGCGAAAGCGUUCUACUGGAACACAACUGACACUGAGAGACGAAAGCUAGGGGAGCGAAUGGG
RNAcentral lists this ribosomal RNA (253 nucleotides) under uncultured bacterium. Its description in RNAcentral is "partial 16S ribosomal RNA". It matches the Rfam family "Bacterial small subunit ribosomal RNA", at positions 524 to 776 of the family's 1533-position model. The record is from RNAcentral.